RNAcentral lists this ribosomal RNA (496 nucleotides) under uncultured bacterium. RNAcentral describes it as "partial 16S ribosomal RNA". It matches the Rfam family "Bacterial small subunit ribosomal RNA", at positions 28 to 506 of the family's 1533-position model. The record is from RNAcentral.
GAUGAACGCUGGCGGCGUGCCUAAUACAUGCAAGUCGAGCGAACAGACGAGGAGCUUGCUCCUCUGACGUUAGCGGCGGACGGGUGAGUAACACGUGGAUAACCUACCUAUAAGACUGGGAUAACUUCGGGAAACCGGAGCUAAUACCGGAUAAUAUAUUGAACCGCAUGGUUCAAUAGUUAAAGACGGUUUUGCUGUCACUUAUAGAUGGAUCCGCGCCGCAUUAGCUAGUUGGUAAGGUAACGGCUUACCAAGGCAACGAUGCGUAGCCGACCUGAGAGGGUGAUCGGCCACACUGGAACUGAGACACGGUCCAGACUCCUACGGGAGGCAGCAGUAGGGAAUCUUCCGCAAUGGGCGAAAGCCUGACGGAGCAACGCCGCGUGAGUGAUGAAGGUCUUCGGAUCGUAAAACUCUGUUAUCAGGGAAGAACAAAUGUGUAAGUAACUAUGCACGUCUUGACGGUACCGAAUCAGAAAGCCACGGCUAACUACGU